GAAUGGCUCAUUAAAUCAGUUAUCGUUUAUUUGAUAGUACCUUAACUACUUGGAAUAACCGUGGUAAUUCUAGAGCUAAUACAUGCUAAAAAAUCCCGACCUCUGGAAGGGGUGUAUUUAUUAGAUAAAAAAUCUAUGCUUCGGCUUCUUAGAUGAUUCAUAAUAACUUUUCGAACCGCAUGGCCUUGUGCUGGCGGUGGUUCAUUCAAAUUUCUGCCCUAUCAACUUUCGAUGGUAGGAUAGUGGCCUACCAUCCUUUCAACGGGUAACGGGGAAUAAGGGUUCGAUUCCGGAGAGGGAGCCUGAGAAACGGCUACCACAUCCAAGGAAGGCAGCAGGCGCGCAAAUUACCCAAUCCCGACACAGGGGAGGUAGUGACAAUAAAUAACGAUACAGGGCCCUUUCGGGUCUUGUAAUUGGAAUGAGUACAAUGUAAAUACCUUAACGAGGAACAAUUGGAGGGCAAGUCUGGUGCCAGCAGCCGCGGUAAUUCCAGCUCCAAGAGCGUAUCUUAAAAUUGUUGCAGUUAAAAAGCUCGUAGUUGAACCUUGGGUCUGGCUGGCCGGUCCGCUUUUUUGCGAGUACUGGACCCAGCCGGGCCUUUCCUUCUGGCUAGCCUUUUGGCGAACCAGGACUUUUACUUUGAAAAUUAGAGUGUUCAAAGCAGGCACUUUGCUCGAAUAUAUUAGCAUGGAAUAAUAGAAUAGGACGUCAUGGUUCUAUUUUGUUGGUUUCUAGGACCAUCGUAAUGAUUAAUAGGACGGCGGGGGCAUCAGUAUUCAGCUGUCAGAGGUGAAANUCUUGGAUUACCUGAAGACUAACUACUGCGAAAGCAUUUGCCAAGGCGUUUACAUUAAUCAANNNCGAAAGUUAGGGGAUCGAAGAUGAUCAGAUACCGUCGUAGUCUUAACCAUAAACUAUGCCGACUAGGGAUCGGGCAAUCGUUCAUUUAUGACGUGCUCGGCACCUUACGAGAAAUCAAAGUCUUUGGGUUC
This 995-nucleotide ribosomal RNA is filed under the name Ogataea pini. RNAcentral's name for it is "SSU rRNA". It matches the Rfam family "Eukaryotic small subunit ribosomal RNA", at positions 91 to 1114 of the family's 1831-position model. The record is from RNAcentral. Lineage: Eukaryota; Fungi; Ascomycota; Pichiomycetes; Pichiales; Pichiaceae.